RNAcentral lists this non-coding RNA (24 nucleotides) under Arabidopsis thaliana (thale cress). The record is from RNAcentral. Lineage: Eukaryota; Viridiplantae; Streptophyta; Magnoliopsida; Brassicales; Brassicaceae.
AGUCUUUGGAGAGAACGUAACUGC